UACAGAGGUCUCAAGCGUUGUUCGGAUUCAUUGGGCGUAAAGGGCUCGUAGGCGGUUUGUCGCGUCGGGAGUGAAAUCCACUGGCUUAACUGGUGGCUUGCUUUCGAUACGGGCAGACUGGAGGUAUGCAGGGGAGAACGGAAUUCCUGGUGUAGCGGUGAAAUGCGCAGAUAUCAGGAGGAACACCGGUGGCGAAGGCGGUUCUCUGGGCAUGUCCUGACGCUGAGGAGCGAAAGCGUGGGGAGCGAACAGG
Molecule: ribosomal RNA, 253 nt
Filed under: uncultured bacterium
Lineage: Bacteria
Description: partial 16S ribosomal RNA
Rfam family: Bacterial small subunit ribosomal RNA
Source: RNAcentral